RNAcentral lists this ribosomal RNA (225 nucleotides) under uncultured bacterium. RNAcentral's name for it is "partial 16S ribosomal RNA". It matches the Rfam family "Bacterial small subunit ribosomal RNA", at positions 114 to 334 of the family's 1533-position model. The record is from RNAcentral.
CGCGUAGGUAACCUGCCUUGUAGCGGGGGAUAACUAUUGGAAACGAUAGCUAAUACCGCAUAACAAUGGGUGACUCAUGUCAUUUAUUUGAAAGGGGCAAAUGCUCCACUACAAGAUGGACCUGCGUUGUAUUAGCUAGUAGGUGAGGUAACAGCUCACCUAGGCGACGAUACAUAGCCGACCUGAGAGGGUGAUCGGCCACACUGGGACUGAGACACGGCCCAG